RNAcentral lists this small RNA (4553 nucleotides) under Pongo abelii (Sumatran orangutan). RNAcentral describes it as "retained intron". The record is from RNAcentral. Lineage: Eukaryota; Metazoa; Chordata; Mammalia; Primates; Hominidae.
CGCGAUGGAGGAGAGCGGGUACGAGUCGGUGCUGUGUGUCAAGCCUGAUGUCCACGUCUACCGCAUCCCUCCGCGAGCUACCAACCGUGGCUACAGGGCCGCGGAGUGGCAGCUGGACCAGCCAUCAUGGAGUGGCCGGCUGAGGAUCACUGCAAAGGGACAGAUGGCCUACAUCAAGUUGGAGGACAGGACGUCAGGGGAGCUCUUUGCUCAGGCCCCGGUGGAUCAGUUUCCUGGCACAGCUGUGGAGAGUGUGACGGAUUCCAGCAGGUACUUCGUGAUCCGCAUCGAAGAUGGAAAUGGGCGACGGGCGUUUAUUGGAAUUGGCUUCGGGGACCGAGGUGAUGCCUUUGACUUCAAUGUUGCAUUGCAGGACCAUUUCAAGUGGGUGAAACAGCAGUGUGAAUUUGCAAAACAAGCCCAGAACCCAGACCAAGGCCCUAAACUGGACCUGGGCUUCAAGGAGGGCCAGACCAUCAAGCUCAACAUCGCAGUGAGUUCUACCCUUGCGUGGCUGUAGUGGCUGUGGUCACGUGAUACUUGUGGCCACCCAGCCCAGAGCCCAUCGCUCUUCUUACGGUUCAGCUCCUUCAGUUCAGCAGAUGUUUAGUGAGCAUCUGCCUUGUGCCAGGUCCUGCAUCAGGGGUGAACGAGAGACCUCUGUUCUCAUGGAGCUCAGAGUUGAGCUGAGACAGGCAGGUAAAAAUGUGAUUACAACAUGGCAGGAAAGGUUCCAUGACUAAGGGAUGCCCUGCGUGCCGUGGGCUCCUAGAGGAAGGGUGAGCAGCCCAUAGUUGUGAGAACCAAGGAAGGCUUCCUGGAAGAAGGGACCUGUAGGCAAGGGAAGAGUGAUCAAAGAGUGGUUCACACAGAGGGACAGCAGGUGCAAAGCCUCUGAACUGAGAAGGAGCAUCAGUCAUUUGCUGCCAGAGGUGGUGUUUCUGUCCUAGCUAUUAGAGUGCAUCAGGAGGGACCUGUGUGCUCAUCCCAGGCUGUCUUGAAUAAGGAAGAUUUGGGAGAGUUCUGGCAGGAAGGCGUUGAGGUGGGCGCUGGGAGUCCUGGGCAGCUUCUGCUGAUGGUGUUGUCCUGGCUCCUGUGUCUUCAUUCUGAGCUGUUCUGCCUCUGGCUUCCCCCCGUCAGCUCCUGUUCAUAGGAACAGGUUGGGCUGGGUUGCCUAAAGUUGGCCUUUACCUGGCUGCAAGGGUGGAGAGGGGAGAUGAGGUCAGUCAUGAUUGCGGGGACCCAAGGACCAAGUGGAUUGGUUUUUGUUUUUGCUAGGAAUACUGUUGAGAUGGAUUUGUUUUUCUGAAGAAGCUUUGUAACUCUAAAAUAAUGCUUUUCCUCUUUACUUACCAUCUCUUUCUCCUCUUUUCUGCUUCGUGCUGGUGAUGAUUUGGGAUCCUUGAAGUUGGCCAGCUGGCCCUUAAGAGAGAAAUGCAAGUCCAAUCCAGUGGACUGGUUGGGAUGUGAUUCCUUCUCUCGCUUGGAGGAAACUAACAUUUAAUGAGCAUCAGCUGUGGGCCAGGUAGUGUUUUUAGGCAUUUCUCAUGUGAAUUAAACAUCCUCUCCCUUUCCUCCAUGAGAUGAGGAAAUGGAGGCUUAGGGAGGGUUGGGGACUUGCCCAGGGUCACAGAGCUAGAAAUAACUGGCACAGCUGCACUCACACUGAGGUCUUUGAGGUCUUUUGACUUCAGGGCUGGACUUACUAUUUUGUUAAGCUGCUGCUUUCCUUACAAGUAGGGAACACAUUAUCUUCAUCUGUGUAACUUGUGCUGGUUUCUGGCUCAUGCUUGGUGCUCAGUUUUUUUUUUUUAAAGCAUUUUCUUGAAGUAUAAUAUGCAUGUAAAAAAGUGUACAAAUCAUAAAUGCAGAACUCAAUGAAAUUUUAAAAAUCUAAUUUAUAGGCUGGGAGUGGUGGCUCACGCCUGUAAUCCCAGCACUUUGGGAGGCCGAGGUGAGUGGAUCACCUGAGGUCGGGAGUCCGAGACCAGCCUGACCAACAUGGAGAAACCCCGUCUCUACUAAAAAUACAAAAUUAGCCUGGCAUGGUGGCCCAUGGCUGUAAUCCCAGCUACUCGGGAGGCUGAGGCAGGAGAAUUGCUUGAACCUGGGAGGCGGAGGUUGCAGUGAGCUGAGAUCGAGCCAUUGUACUCCAGCCUGGGCAACAAGAGCGAAACUCUGGCUCAAAAAACAAAACAAAACAAAACAAAAAACCCAAUUUAUAAACUUGCACUUUGCUCCAGAUACAAAAGAUUGUCAGCACUCUGGAAACACCUCUCCUGGCCCCUCCCAGUAACUACCCUGAGUAACCCCAUCCUGACUUCACAUACCCUAGGUUUUGUUGUUCUUAACUUUCAUGAAUUGACUCAUACACCUAAUCUUGUUUUGGAAUGAUUUCUUUCUUUUACUCAAUGUAAUUUUUGUGAGAGUCAUCCAUGGUGUUGCGUGUAGUUUGUUCAUUCUCAUUGUUGUGGCGUGUGCCAUUGUGAGAAUUCACCCGAUUUAUUUAUGUUUUACUGAUGAUGGACAUUUGGGUAGUUUCCAGUUUGGGGCGAUUAGAAAUAGUGCUGCUGUAGAUGUUUGAGUUCUUGUCUUUUGGUGCAUAUAUGUAUGAUUUCUGUUGGUUUAUAUCUAGGAGUGGAAUUGCUGAGUCAUAAGUUUAAGUUCCUAUGUUGAGCUUUAUAGAACCUUUCAAAUAAUUUUUCAAAGUAGUUUUACCAGUUUACAUUUCAACCAGCAGAGCGUGAAUGGUUACUUCAUAUCAUAGUGAAUACUUGAUAAUCUACAUUUUAGCCAUUCUGGUGAGUGUGUAGUGGUGUAUCACUAUAGCUUUGAUCUGCAUUUCCCUGAUGAAUGAAGUGGGGGUGCUGGGUUUUAAAAUGGACCUUAUUUGUGAUAGAUUCAGAAUGAUGAUGCACUAAGUAUAGCUCAUAGCAAUGGAGGUGCUAGGUAGGACCAUCUUUUGUUUACACAGAUGUUGGGGGUCUGGGGUCACCUUGGCCCUCCUUGUGGGGUUUUCUGGUAGCAUUGGGACUCCAGCAGAAUGGGCUGAUUUGCAUUCCUCUUCCCUCUUUAGAACAUGAAGAAGAAGGAAGGAGCAGCUGGGAAUCCCCGAGCCCGGCCUGCCAGCACAGGAGGGCUGAGUCUUCUUCCCCCUCCCCCAGGGGGGAAAACCUCCACCCUGAUCCCUCCCCCUGGGGAGCAGUUGGCUGUAGGGGGAUCCCUCGUCCAGCCAGCAGUUGCUCCCAGUUCAGGAGGUGCUCCUGUACCCUGGCCACAGCCCAAUCCUGCCACUGCUGACAUCUGGGGAGACUUUACCAAAUCUACAGGAUCAACUUCCAGCCAGACCCAGCCAGGCACAGGCUGGGUCCAGUUCUGACCUGAGCACAGUUUUUCCUCAUGUGACUUCUGGGAAGGCGCUCCCUCGUCUGGGCCAAAGGAAGGAGGACGAAGCCCUCCUCAGCUGGCCUGUGUUUGGAGCAUGAAUCUCUCCUCUCCUCUUUGUCUGGCUCUGUUGACAAACCGGGCAUGUUUGGCAGUAAAUUGGCACUGUGUCACAGUUUCCUGGGAUUCAAGUAUGCAACCAGAACACAGAAGAAAAGCUCCAGGAUCCCUGUCCCCAUCUGUCCUCUUGACAUGAGAGAGACUGAGACUUCUUCCAUCGCAAUGACCCAUAUUAAACACAAGCCCCCAGAGCAAAAGAAUAGGUUGAGUUUGCUGCCUGGAUUCAGAUCAGCCCUUCCCAGGGUCUACAGGUGUCACAUGAUCACAGUUCAGCGGGAGGCUUUCCGUACCCACACUGGCUGUAGCCACUUCAGUCCAUCUGACCUCCAGAGGAGGGGUUUCUUCCUGAUUUUUAGCAGGUUUAGAGGCUGCAGCUUGAGCUACAAUCAGGAGGGAAAUUGGAAGGAUUAGCAGCUUUUAAAAAUGUUUAAAUAUUUUGCUUUGCUAAUGUGCUGAUCCGCACUAACUCAUCUUUGCAAAAGGACUGCUCCCUCAGCGUGCCCCAGCAGGGGCCUCUGAAGGGAUUCCUCACUGUGGGCAGCUGCCCUGAGCUUCAGGCAGCAGUGUUCAUCUCUGGCCAGUUGUCUGGUUUCCAUGUAUUCUAGGCCAUGUAGGCAACACAGAGCCAAGGCGGGUGCUGGAAGCCAGACAGAACAGUGUUGGGGCAGGAAGGUGGAAGCUGUUGUCAUGGAGCUGUGGGAGUUGGCACUCUGUCUGCUGGUGGCCCUCUCGGCUCACAGGUUCACAGUGCAGCUCCUGGCAGAUGUGGGUUUUCUCUUUGGUGGUUUCUAAAGUGCCUUAUCUGCAAACAACUUUUCUCCUUCAGGAACUGUGAAUGGCUAGAAGGAGCUCAGUAAACUAGAAGUCCAGGGUUGCUUGGUUUACUGGUUUAUAAGAAAUCUGAAAGCACCUCUGAAAUUCCUUUUAUUAACUCACCUUUCAGUUGAAAGAUUUCUUCUUUGAAAGGUCAAGACCGUGAACUGAAAAAAGUGUUGGCCUUUUUGUGGGACCAGAUUUUUAAGAUAAAAAUAAAUAUUUUUACUUCUGUC